Molecule: ribosomal RNA, 251 nt
Filed under: uncultured bacterium
Lineage: Bacteria
Description: partial 16S ribosomal RNA
Rfam family: Bacterial small subunit ribosomal RNA
Source: RNAcentral
ACGGAGGGUGCAAGCGUUAAUCGGAAUCACUGGGCGUAAAGCGCACGUAGGCUGUUAUGUAAGUCAGGGGUGAAAGCCCACGGCUCAACCGUGGAACUGCCCUUGAUACUGCACGACUCGAAUCCGGGAGAGGGUGGCGGAAUUCCAGGUGUAGGAGUGAAAUCCGUAGAUAUCUGGAGGAACAUCAGUGGCGAAGGCGGCCACCUGGACCGGUAUUGACGCUGAGGUGCGAAAGCGUGGGGAGCAAACAG